GGAGAGAUGACAGAGUGGCCGAUCGUGCUCGCUUGGAAAGCGAGUGUACCGCAAGGUACCGGGGGUUCGAAUCCCCCUCUCUCCG
Molecule: transfer RNA, 85 nt
Filed under: Planctomycetaceae bacterium
Lineage: Bacteria; Pseudomonadati; Planctomycetota; Planctomycetia; Planctomycetales; Planctomycetaceae
Description: tRNA-Ser
Rfam family: tRNA
About the family: Transfer RNA (tRNA) molecules are approximately 80 nucleotides in length.
Source: RNAcentral